Oncorhynchus keta (chum salmon) is the source of this 1526-nucleotide RNA transcript. It is a transcript of the gene named peroxiredoxin-like 2A, with no coding region annotated. The record is from RefSeq and is a predicted model, not a curated record. NCBI's taxonomy places the organism in Eukaryota, Metazoa, Chordata, Actinopteri, Salmoniformes, Salmonidae. The transcript is spliced from 6 exons.
GCUGCUGUUAUCAUUAUGGUUUAGUCCUUUGUCCUCUCUGAGAAGUGAACGUCACAUUGCAGUAGUUAAGCCUGUCAAGUCGCAGUGAAGUGGAGAACAGAGUACCUAUCUGGGAUUGAAUGAGUUUAAAUUGAGGGGCAUUUCUCGAUGCUGUCCUCUGUCUUUGAGGUGGAACUGUUUGAGAUGGGGAUUUGGUCUCUGGGUCUGGGGGCCUUAGGAGCAGCCAUCGCAGGGAUCUUCCUGGCUAAUACUGACCUGUGUCUGACCAAGGCUGCUCAGGCCUCGCUGGAAUACCUGGAGGACGCAGACCUCCACUCCACUGGAGACGAUGAGAAGACCAUGAAGGCCAAAACUCUGUGGGAGAACACCGGAGCAGUCGUCAUGGCUGUACGACGGCCCGGAUGAUUUUUGUGCAGAGAGGAGGCCUCUGAGCUGUCCUCUCUGAAAACCCAGCUUGAGGAUCUUGGUGUCCCUCUGGUUGCCGUGGUGAAGGAGAACAUCGGUACGGAGAUCCAGGACUUCCGACCAUACUUUGCUGGGGACAUCUAUGUAGACGUGAAGCAUCACUUCUAUGGCCCACUACAGAGGAAGAUGGGAGGGCUGGGAUUCAUCCGUCAGGGGGUGUGGCAGAACUUCAUGCGGGCCUGGAAGGCCGGUUACCAGGGCAACAUGCUGGGGGAGGGCUUUGUCCUGGGAGGUGUGUUUGUCAUCGGAGCGGGGAAUCAGGGUAUUCUUUUGGAGCACAGGGAGAAGGAGUUUGGCAACAAAGUGGAGAAUGAAGAUGUUUUAGAGGCUGUGAAUAGAAUUGUGCCAGUGCAAUAGAUUUGAGUUUUUGUAAGUAGCAUUAGUUCAACACUGAUCAAGAGGCCUCAGACACAACUACUUGGUUAUUUCCUGCAUGAGAAUGUGUUCUCAUGUCUUACCUGGUUAAAGAGAUUCUCAGUCAGGGACCUUACAGCAUGCACUAAACUGUGAGAACACUUGUACAUUACUCAUCCUUUGGGAAAGAGAAGUAUAUCUACGAUCGUGUGUUUCAUGCUUUUAUUGAUGUCUCCAAUGGAGUCGAACUCAACUUGAAGAAUGGUUCUCUAUGGCAGUGUUUCCCAACCCUGGUCCUCGAGAACGCCCAACAAAAAAGUAAUACUUUUUUAUUGUAACCCUGGACAAGCACACCUGAUUCAACUUGUCAACUAAUCAUCAAGCCCUCAAUGAGGUGUGUUUGUCCAGGGCUACAAUGAGAAUGUGUACUGUUGGGGGUACACGAGGACCAGGGUUGGGAAGCACUGCUAUAUUCAUCUGGAUUCUAUGUAUUUCAUGUUUACCUGUGAAUGAAUGUGUUACCUGUUCAGGUACUCAAGCGUGACUUGUGUGUAGUCUGUGUUAUUAAUGAAGACCUGACUGUAAACUCGGCAACGAGGGGAGCAGGUUCGAUAUCCAAACACACACUGCCUCACUAUGGCCAGGGUGCCUGAAACAGGUCUGUAUGAGAAUGCAAAGCACAAUAAACCCUAGACCUCGUCACACCA